GCCUACGGCCAUACCAGCCCAAUAAACGCCCGGUCUCGUCUGAUCUCGGAGAGCUAAGAAGGCUUGGGCCUGGUGUACUUGGAUGGGAGACCUCCUGGGAAUACCAGGUGCUGUAAGCU
Ribosomal RNA from Denticeps clupeoides (denticle herring), 119 nucleotides. The record is from Ensembl. NCBI's taxonomy places the organism in Eukaryota, Metazoa, Chordata, Actinopteri, Clupeiformes, Denticipitidae.